Molecule: ribosomal RNA, 253 nt
Filed under: uncultured bacterium
Lineage: Bacteria
Description: partial 16S ribosomal RNA
Rfam family: Bacterial small subunit ribosomal RNA
Source: RNAcentral
UACAGAGGGUGCGAGCGUUAAUCGGAAUUACUGGGCGUAAAGCGCGCGUAGGCGGCUUUGCAAGUCGGGUGUGAAAUCCCCAGGCUUAACCUGGGAACUGCAUUCGAGACUGCAUUGCUAGAGUAUGGGAGAGGGAAGUGGAAUUUCCGGUGCAGCGGUGAAAUGCGUAGAUAUCGGAAGGAACAUCAGUGGCGAAAGCGACUUCCUGGACCAAUACUGACGCUCAUGUGCGAAAGCGUGGGGAGCAAACAGG